UUCUCUUGCUCUCUCUGGAUAACAAAAACGGGUUCUAAUAAGGGGCAACAAUGACCGGCAGCAGCGGAACAGUGAAAUUUUGAACAAGAUUACUUUCACCUAGACAAAGGUUUGAAAAUGUUGGAAGGAAGGCAAAUCACCAAAUAAAUUAAAAGCCUUGCACUACUGACAAGGUAUAUACAACUUCACAAAUUAAUUUUCAAGUAUAUAUUAUAUAUUAUAAUCCUCAUUGCUGGAAAUAUUUAUAUCUGAUUUUUUUAGAGAAAAUUGCUGGAAGCUUGAAGCUGGUAAGGUUGAAUUGACUAGCGCUCAUUGGAUUGAAGAAACAAGAAAAAUCACAAAGUCCAAUAGAAGAUGGACAUAUUUUGUAUAUAG
This 375-nucleotide long non-coding RNA is filed under the name Helianthus annuus (common sunflower). RNAcentral's name for it is "hypothetical non coding rna". The record is from RNAcentral. Lineage: Eukaryota; Viridiplantae; Streptophyta; Magnoliopsida; Asterales; Asteraceae.